This is a long non-coding RNA of Salvia hispanica, 440 nucleotides long. RefSeq lists it as uncharacterized. NCBI's taxonomy places the organism in Eukaryota, Viridiplantae, Streptophyta, Magnoliopsida, Lamiales, Lamiaceae. The record is from RefSeq and is a predicted model, not a curated record.
UCUGCGCCACUCUAUGGAAAAUCCCGCCAAAAUCGGGUCUCCAAAACUACCUUUACUACUCAGUCCCAUCGCCAACUACUGACGAGCAAAAACCGGCCGUCUCCGCCAUGAACUAGCGGCGGAUUCAGCUCCGCGUCUUCAUCCCCUUUGGCUAUUGUGCUCUUAAAGUUAUUGCAGAGUAAGACGUCGAUUUCUCAAUAAGAUCUUGGAUUGUGAGGUGGAUUCCGCUGAAAAAAAACAUUGGAGCGCAUGUAAACAAGUUCCAGAAAUGUAGUGAUACCUUCAUAAGCUGGAACCUAGCAAUUUAGUCAUCGACUUUCCCAUGUCUGAAGAAAAAGGAGGUACUUAUGCUGAAACAAUCAAAAGACCAAGGUAGCUUCCCUGUCUUUUACCAAGUUCUUAAUAUACACUCCCAAUUUAUGCAUGAGCUCUGUUGAGAA